Molecule: ribosomal RNA, 253 nt
Filed under: uncultured bacterium
Lineage: Bacteria
Description: partial 16S ribosomal RNA
Rfam family: Bacterial small subunit ribosomal RNA
Source: RNAcentral
UACAGAGGGUGCGAGCGUUAAUCGGAAUUACUGGGCGUAAAGCGCGCGUAGGUGGUUUGGUAAGUCGGUUGUGAAAUCCCCAGGCUUAACCUGGGAAUUGCAGUCGAUACUGUCUGACUCGAGUGUGGAAGAGGGAAGCGGAAUUUCCGGUGUAGCGGUGAAAUGCGUAGAUAUCGGAAGGAACACCAGUGGCGAAGGCGGCUUCCUGGUCCAACACUGACUAUGAGGCGCGAAAGCGUGGGUAGCGAACAGG